UACAUAGGGGGCGAGCGUUAUCCGGAAUUAUUGGGCGUAAAGGGUGAGUAGGCGGACGAUUAAGUCUUUGGUGUAAGUGCAGUGCUUAACGCUGUGAUGCUAAAGAAACUGGUUGUCUAGAGUUGGAUAGAGGCAAGUGGAAUUCCAUGUGUAGCGGUAAAAUGCGUAAAUAUAUGGAGGAACACCAGUGGCGAAGGCGGCUUGCUGGGUCUUGACUGACGCUGAGGCACGAAAGCGUGGGGAGCAAACAGG
This 252-nucleotide ribosomal RNA is filed under the name uncultured bacterium. Its description in RNAcentral is "partial 16S ribosomal RNA". It matches the Rfam family "Bacterial small subunit ribosomal RNA", at positions 524 to 776 of the family's 1533-position model. The record is from RNAcentral.